This 380-nucleotide ribosomal RNA is filed under the name uncultured eukaryote. RNAcentral's name for it is "partial 18S ribosomal RNA". It matches the Rfam family "Eukaryotic small subunit ribosomal RNA", at positions 592 to 976 of the family's 1831-position model. The record is from RNAcentral.
CAAUAGCGUAUAUUAAAGUUGUUGCAGUUAAAAAGCUCGUAGUUGGAUCUGUGGUGUGCGGUGGGCUCCGGGCACUUGUUGUCUGAGUAGCUCGCCGCUGCCAUCCUUGGGUGGAACCUGUGUGGCAUUGGGUUGUCGUGCAGGGGAUGCCCAUCGUUUACUGUGAAAAAAUUAGAGUGUUCAAAGCAGGCUUAUGCCGUUGAAUAUAUUAGCAUGGAAUAAUGAGAUAGGACUUUUUCGCUAUUUUGUUGGUUUGCGCGAAGAGGUAAUGAUUAAUAGGGACAGUUGGGGGUAUUCGUAUUCCAUUGUCAGAGGUGAAAUUCUUGGAUUUUUGGAAGACGAACUACUGCGAAAGCAUUUACCAAGGAUGUUUUCAUUAA